AUGCGGUCGAAUGACGACCAAAAUGCAGUCAAGGGUGUUAUCGAGAGGGAGAAGGUGGUGAAGAAGAUGAAGCUUUGCACAGUGGUUGUGGUACUAUGGUAUAUCUAUUUAAAAUCUCUAGAAUGUGGACAAGAUGCCAAAUGCAGCUGGUCGGAGUUCGGCCAUGCUAGCCUCAUCUAUCGGCUGCUCGUCAAAUGGCUAACCCUAUGCAGUACGCUAUCCAUAGCUGGAUCUGUCAUUUUAGUUUAUCAAGUUGUGGAUCGAGGCGAACGCUACACCCACCUUUGGUAUACGAUCGUUGGCCCAGUUGAAAAAAAAAAUAAAGGUAGCCUAUCCUCUCGUUGCUUUCGCUCGCCUUUCUCUCGAGCGCUCUCUCUCUCUCUCUCUCUCUCGAUCCUCUCUCCACCUCUCGGCCGCCGGCCUUCCGGCCAUUGUCGGCGGUCUCCGGCUCCGCCCAACACUCCCUCGUGUUAUCCUUCAUCCGACCUAUCUGCUCCGCCAACUCGAUUCGACGCUCGCCUCCUUCUCUUGCGCUCGUGGCUAACCCUAGCCGCCACUAUCGCCGGCGCACGGUGCCGUCUUGGACGCCGGCGCGACUCCGACGCCUCCUUGCACUCCUCCUCGAUGCCUCCUGCCCGCUCUCCCGUGUCACCGAGGCCGUCAAGCGCGAGGGCAUGCACUCCCGGUGGCAGCGAUGAUUUCCGAUCUGCGCCAUCUUCAAGGGCGCGGAGCAACGGAGGUCGGCUCCUUCUUCUCCCCGGUCACGCGUCGGGAGAGGAGUCAGCCCCCUUGUGUUUCUGCGCCAAGGCCGGCAAGGAGGUCUCCAGCAUGCUCGAGGCCGCCGCCCCCGAGCUCAAAGGUCCGGCCCUGAUCGCCUUCACCCAACUUUUCUAUCUCCUAGAACUCGUUGAAGAUAAUCCAUGCCACCGCGUGGCUUCGAUCUCCAUCAUCUGCGUCGUUCUCGUCCUAUUGGAGCGAGCUGGGACCAAGCUCGAACAGUUUGUCGUGGAAAGAGAAGAGAAGUCACUCAAUCUGGAUGUGCGAGCCAUUAUAAGUGUAGCUGUUUUCAUUGGCCGAAGUACCAUCAUGCCUGAUAUGCAUGGCUCUUGGCCACUGCAGGAUACGAAUGUUGACUGGGAGUUCGGGGUUCUCUCUCCAAAGGAGAUCACAGCUCCUUCGCAUGAUGUAGAGUUUGGAAGCAAAUCAAAACCAUCCAUAGUAAAAAUCGUAGAGAUCAAGUCAAAACUAGAUUCUGAUGAAAUGUCUGGCGCUGCUAUAAAUCUUGAGGAACACUAUGACAAGGAAAGCAUUAACAUUGAUGCUUCCAGUGAUUCAUCCCUGGAGCGGUAUGAUCUGUCAGAUGAUGAUACUGAUUUGCAGAAGAAUUUCACACAUCUAAGUGAUCUUGCAGCUGCACUGCGAAAACCUGACGAUCUAGAUGGUGCCAUAGAUAAAAUUCGACAAGAGAAGAAAUGUGUGCAGCAGAGGAACCAAGAUGCCAAAGGUUCAAAGCGGUGUUGUGCUGAAAAAACCAGGACAAUCUUAUAUGUGAUCCAGGGACCUCCUGGUCUAAAUGGAUUCCUAAUGCAUCAGAUAAUCCAAGCGGUGUUCAUAAGGAAGAGGCUCUGUCGAGUUGCGGCAGUCUUCUCGUUAGCACGAGAACGACCACAAAUAACGUUUGAGGCAAAUUCCUUCACCUGCCCUGCUGAUGGGAAAUUCUGCAAUGAUGCCCAGCGGCACGCCACUCUCAAGCUAGAGGUCAAGCUUAGGAACUGUAGGUCCUGCUUCUUCAUCCUGACGGACACCAUUCGUUACUCCCGGGGGAUCUCCUCGAUCGCGCUCGACAGGGCCGGCGCUCUGCCCCUGGCGGUGAUAACGAGUGAUCCCCAGAAAGUGGAAAUCCGCCCGCUUCCAACUGAUGAUAAAAUUCUUGCAAUUGAGUAUCAAAUUGAUGGUAGUAAGCUCCAAGAAGAAGAGGUGCAUUGUGCUCAUCAGCCUGAGAAAAGUGUAACAUCCAACCACAAUCUAGAAAAUAGGCAUACAAAUUCGAAGAGGAAACCGAAAGAUGAAGAUGCAACAAUACUUGAGAGCUCAAGUACCCAAUCCAACCCAAGAAGAAGACUCAAGGGAGGACUGAUCUAUAUGUAG
RNAcentral lists this ribosomal RNA (2148 nucleotides) under Triticum aestivum (bread wheat). Its description in RNAcentral is "partial small subunit ribosomal RNA". The record is from RNAcentral. Lineage: Eukaryota; Viridiplantae; Streptophyta; Magnoliopsida; Poales; Poaceae.